GGGGGUAUAGCUCAGAUGGGAGAGCGAUUGGUUCGCAAUCAAUAGGUCAGGGGUUCGAUCCCCCUUACCUCCACCA
Molecule: transfer RNA, 76 nt
Filed under: Acetobacter sp.
Lineage: Bacteria; Pseudomonadati; Pseudomonadota; Alphaproteobacteria; Acetobacterales; Acetobacteraceae
Also listed under: 3 other names
Description: tRNA-Ala
Rfam family: tRNA
About the family: Transfer RNA (tRNA) molecules are approximately 80 nucleotides in length. Their secondary structure includes four short double-helical elements and three loops (D, anti-codon, and T loops).
Source: RNAcentral